AGAGUGAGUUGGGCAAUCGCCAGUGGGAUUUCUGAUUGCUCCACUGGAGGAAAGUCCGAACACCAUAGGACGGCGAGCCGGGUAACGCCCGGGCAUUGGGUCUUUGACUCGAUGACGAAAAGCGCAACAGAGAGUAGACCAGCCAGCGGCUUUUCGUUUUUUGACUAGUUUCCUUCAAAAAACGAAAAGUGCGGGUGAUGGGUGAAACGGUGCGGUAAGAGCGCACCAGCGCAUCUGGUAACAGGUGCGGCUAGGCAAGCUCCUCGCGGUGCAAGACCAAAUAGGAAAGCGUCCGAGAGUGCGUCCGCUCGAAUCUUGGGUUUUUCGUGAGAAACUCUAAAUUGAAGAGCUUUCUCAUUGAAUCUCCCAAGAUACGCUUUCGGGUAGGUCGCUAGAGCGAUUCGGUAACGAAUCGCCGAGAAGAAUGAUUGCCAUCUGCCUACACGGGCAGAUACAGAAUUCGGCUUAUAAACUCACUCUUUCU
Molecule: RNase P RNA, 484 nt
Filed under: Pseudomonadota bacterium
Lineage: Bacteria; Pseudomonadati; Pseudomonadota
Also listed under: 1 other name
Description: RNase P RNA component class A
Rfam family: Bacterial RNase P class A
About the family: Ribonuclease P (RNase P) is a ubiquitous endoribonuclease, found in archaea, bacteria and eukarya as well as chloroplasts and mitochondria.
Source: RNAcentral